AUUAAAUAGCCGCAGUAUUUUGACUGUGCGAAGGUAGCAUAAUCAUUUGUCUUUUAAUUGAAGGCUAGUAUGAAUGGUUGGAUGAGGGAAUAACUUUCUUUGUAUUAAAUAUUGAAUUUAAUUUUUUAGUUAAAAAGCUAAAAUCUUUUAAAGGGACGAGAAGACCCUAUAGAAUUUUACUAUUAAUUUGAUUAAAAUAUUUGGUAUAUAUAACUUUUAAUUUAGGAUUUAGUUUUGUUGGGGUGACAGUAGGAUUUUUUUAACUUCUAUAAUUAAUUUAUUGUUUAUUUGCAUUUUAAAGAUCCUUUAGUUUGGAUACUUAGAUUAAAUUACCUUAGGGAUAACAGCGUUAUUUUUCUGGAGAGUUCAUAUCGAUAGAGGAGUUUGCGACCUCGAUGUUGGAUUAAAAUUAGAUUUAAGUGCAGAAGCUUAAU
RNAcentral lists this ribosomal RNA (434 nucleotides) under Stagonomus amoenus. RNAcentral's name for it is "partial 16S ribosomal RNA". It matches the Rfam family "Archaeal large subunit ribosomal RNA", at positions 1999 to 2636 of the family's 2987-position model. The record is from RNAcentral. Lineage: Eukaryota; Metazoa; Arthropoda; Insecta; Hemiptera; Pentatomidae.